RNAcentral lists this unclassified non-coding RNA (80 nucleotides) under Thalassobacter stenotrophicus DSM 16310. Its description in RNAcentral is "suhB". Lineage: Bacteria; Pseudomonadati; Pseudomonadota; Alphaproteobacteria; Rhodobacterales; Roseobacteraceae. The record is from RNAcentral.
CAUGGCAACCUUUAACUAAGGUUUUGCCAAUCCAGAUUGCGAGGGCCGCUCCAUCGGGGCGGCCUUUUUUCGUUUUUGUG